Molecule: ribosomal RNA, 746 nt
Filed under: uncultured Parvimonas sp.
Lineage: Bacteria; Bacillati; Bacillota; Tissierellia; Tissierellales; Peptoniphilaceae
Description: bacterial SSU rRNA
Rfam family: Bacterial small subunit ribosomal RNA
Source: RNAcentral
GACGAACGCUGGCGGCGUGCUUAACACAUGCAAGUCGAACAUGAUUUUUGUGGAAAUUCUUUCGGGAAUGGAAAUGAAAUGAAAGUGGCGAACGGGUGAGUAACACGUGAGCAACCUACCUUACACAGGGGGAUAGCCGUUGGAAACGACGAUUAAUACCGCAUGAGACCACAGAAUCGCAUGAUAUAGGGGUCAAAGAUUUAUCGGUGUAAGAAGGGCUCGCGUCUGAUUAGCUAGUUGGAAGGGUAAAGGCCUACCAAGGCGACGAUCAGUAGCCGGUCUGAGAGGAUGAACGGCCACAUUGGAACUGAGACACGGUCCAAACUCCUACGGGAGGCAGCAGUGGGGAAUAUUGCACAAUGGGGGGAACCCUGAUGCAGCGACGCCGCGUGAGCGAAGAAGGUUUUCGAAUCGUAAAGCUCUGUCCUAUGAGAAGAUAAUGGCGGUAUCAUAGGAGGAAGCCCCGGCUAAAUACGUGCCAGCAGCCGCGGUAAUACGUAUGGGGCGAGCGUUGUCCGGAAUUAUUGGGCGUAAAGGGUACGUAGGCGGUUUUUUAAGUCAGGUGUGAAAGCGUGAGGCUUAACCUCAUUAAGCACUUGAAACUGGAAGACUUGAGUGAAGGAGAGGAAAGUGGAAUUCCUAGUGUAGCGGUGAAAUGCGUAGAUAUUAGGAGGAAUACCGGUGGCGAAGGCGACUUUCUGGACUUUUACUGACGCUCAGGUACGAAAGCGUGGGGAGCAAACAGG